CAGCCGUGAACUAUGCGCGUUAGGUGUAUCGGUGACCACGAGUUACCGAGGUGCCGAAGGGAAACCGUGAAACGUGCCGCCUGGGAAGUACGGUCGCAAGGCUGAAACUUAAAGGAAUUGGCGGGGGAGCACCACAACAGGUGGAGCCUGCGGUUUAAUUGGACUCAGCGCCGGGAAGCUCACCGGAUAGGACAGCAGAAUGAUUGCCGGGCUGAAGACCCUGCAUGACUAGCUGAGAGGAGGUGCAUGGCGGUAGACGUCU
This 262-nucleotide ribosomal RNA is filed under the name uncultured archaeon. Its description in RNAcentral is "partial 16S ribosomal RNA". It matches the Rfam family "Archaeal small subunit ribosomal RNA", at positions 748 to 1009 of the family's 1478-position model. The record is from RNAcentral.